AACGAACGCUGGCGGCGUGCUUAAUACAUGCAAGUCGAACGAGAAAGGCUGGCUUCGGCCGGCCCGGUAAAGUGGCGAACGGGUGAGUAACACGUGGGCAAUCUACCCUUAAAUCUGGGAUAAUCCUUCGAAAGGGGGCCUAAUACCGGAUAACACCAUAGGAUGGCAUCAUCCAGUGGUCAAAGGCGGAGCAAUCUGCCGUUUAGGGAUGAGCCCGCGCCCCAUUAGCUUGUUGGUGAGGUAACGGCUCACCAAGGCUUCGAUGGGUAGCCGGCUUGAGAGAGUGAUCGGCCACACUGGGACUGAGAUACGGCCCAGACUCCUACGGGAGGCAGCAGUAGGGAAUAUUGCGCAAUGGACGAAAGUCUGACGCAGCAACGCCGCGUGGGUGAUGAAGCAUCUUGGUGUGUAAAACCCUGUCAGUGGGGAAGAACCAUAUCGGUAGUAACUGACCGGUAUCUGACGGUACCCACAGAGAAGCACCGCUAACU
This 491-nucleotide ribosomal RNA is filed under the name uncultured bacterium. RNAcentral's name for it is "bacterial SSU rRNA". It matches the Rfam family "Bacterial small subunit ribosomal RNA", at positions 29 to 502 of the family's 1533-position model. The record is from RNAcentral.